CAGCAGCCGCCGCGGUAAUACAGAGGGUGCGAGCGUUAAUCGGAUUUACUGGGCGUAAAGCGUGCGUAGGCGGCUUCUUAAGUCGGAUGUGAAAUCCCUGAGCUUAACUUAGGAAUUGCAUUCGAUACUGGGAAGCUAGAGUAUGGGAGAGGAUGGUAGAAUUCCAGGUGUAGCGGUGAAAUGCGUAGAGAUCUGGAGGAAUACCGAUGGCGAAGGCAGCCAUCUGGCCUAAUACUGACGCUGAGGUACGAAAGCAUGGGGAGCAAACAGGAUUAGAUACCCCAGUAGUCCCUGUCUCUUAUAA
Molecule: ribosomal RNA, 304 nt
Filed under: uncultured bacterium
Lineage: Bacteria
Description: partial 16S ribosomal RNA
Rfam family: Bacterial small subunit ribosomal RNA
Source: RNAcentral